RNAcentral lists this ribosomal RNA (498 nucleotides) under uncultured bacterium. Its description in RNAcentral is "partial 16S ribosomal RNA". It matches the Rfam family "Bacterial small subunit ribosomal RNA", at positions 30 to 523 of the family's 1533-position model. The record is from RNAcentral.
AUUGAACGCUGGCGGCAUGCCUUACACAUGCAAGUCGAACGGCAGCACGGGGCAACCUGGUGGCGAGUGGCGAACGGGUGAGUAAUGCAUCGGAACGUACCUUUCAGUGGGGGAUAACGUAGCGAAAGUUACGCUAAUACCGCAUAUUCUGUGAGCAGGAAAGCAGGGGAUCGCAAGACCUUGCUCUGAUUUAGCGGCCGAUGUCAGAUUAGCUAGUUGGUGAGGUAAAGGCUCACCAAGGCGACGAUCUGUAGCGGGUCUGAGAGGAUGAUCAGCCACACUGGAACUGAGACACGGUCCAGACUCCUACGGGAGGCAGCAGUGGGGAAUUUUGGACAAUGGGGGCAACCCUGAUCCAGCCAUGCCGCGUGAGUGAAGAAGGCCUUCGGGUUGUAAAGCUCUUUCGGCCGGGAAGAAAUCGCACGGGCUAAUACCCUGUGUGGAUGACGGUACCGGAAUAAGAAGCACCGGCUAACUACGUGCCAGCCGCCGCAGUAA